UGCAAGUCGAGCGGAGAGAUGUAGCUUGCUACUGAUCUUAGCGGCGGACGGGUGAGUAAUGCUUAGGAAUCUGCCUAUUAGUGGGGGACAACAUUCCGAAAGGAAUGCUAAUACCGCAUACGCCCUACGGGGGAAAGCAGGGGAUCAUUAGACCUUGCGCUAAUAGAUGAGCCUAAGUCGGAUUAGCUAGUUGGUGGGGUAAAGGCCUACCAAGGCGACGAUCUGUAGCGGGUCUGAGAGGAUGAUCCGCCACACUGGGACUGAGACACGGCCCAGACUCCUACGGGAGGCAGCAGUGGGGAAUAUUGGACAAUGGGGGGAACCCUGAUCCAGCCAUGCCGCGUGUGUGAAGAAGGCCUUUUGGUUGUAAAGCACUUUAAGCGAGGAGGAGGCUACUCUGGUUAAUACCCAGGGAUAGUGGACGUUACUCGCAGAAUAAGCACCGGCUAACUCUGUGCCAGCAGCCGCGGUAAUACAGAGGGUGCGAGCGUUAAUCGGAUUUACUGGGCGUAAAGCGUACGUAGGCGGCUUUUUAAGUCGGAUGUGAAAUCCCUGAGCUUAACUUAGGAAUUGCAUUCGAUACUGGGAAGCUAGAGUAUGGGAGAGGAUGGUAGAAUUCCAGGUGUAGCGGUGAAAUGCGUAGAGAUCUGGAGGAAUACCGAUGGCGAAGGCAGCCAUCUGGCCUAAUACUGACGCUGAGGUACGAAAGCAUGGGGAGCAAACAGGAUUAGAUACCCUGGUAGUCCAUGCCGUAAACGAUGUCUACU
This 767-nucleotide ribosomal RNA is filed under the name Acinetobacter sp. 2P2C8. Its description in RNAcentral is "bacterial SSU rRNA". It matches the Rfam family "Bacterial small subunit ribosomal RNA", at positions 56 to 817 of the family's 1533-position model. The record is from RNAcentral. Lineage: Bacteria; Pseudomonadati; Pseudomonadota; Gammaproteobacteria; Moraxellales; Moraxellaceae.